GAUGAAGAACGUAGCGAAAUGCGAUACGUAAUGUGAAUUGCAGAAUUCAGUGAAUCAUCGAGUCUUUGAACGCACAUUGCGCCCCCUGGUAUUCCGGGGGGCAUGCCUGUCCGAGCGUCAUUGCUGCCCUCAAGCACGGCUUGUGUGUUGGGCCUCCGUCCUCCUCCCGGGGGACGGGCCCGAAAGGCAGCGGCGGCACCGCGUCCGGUCCUCGAGCGUAUGGGGCUUCGUCACCCGCUCUUGUAGGCCCGGCCGGCGCCUGCCGACACAUCAAUCUUUUUUCCAGGUUGACCUCGGAUCAGGUAGGGAUACCCGCUGAACUUAAGCAUAUCAAUAAGCGGAGGA
This 345-nucleotide unclassified non-coding RNA is filed under the name soil metagenome. RNAcentral's name for it is "partial contains 5.8S ribosomal RNA, internal transcribed spacer 2, and large subunit ribosomal RNA". The stretch from base 1 to 120 matches the Rfam family "5.8S ribosomal RNA", at positions 35 to 154 of the family's 154-position model. The record is from RNAcentral.